GAGGGCGAAGCCUCAGAUGGUAGAGCGCUCGCUUAGCAUGCGAGAGGUACGGGGAUCGAUACCCUGCGCCUCUAAUCA
Non-coding RNA from Trichonephila inaurata madagascariensis, 78 nucleotides. Lineage: Eukaryota; Metazoa; Arthropoda; Arachnida; Araneae; Nephilidae. The record is from the annotation of a GenBank genome assembly.